GACGAACGCUGGCGGCGUGCUUAACACAUGCAAGUCGAACGGUGAAGCGCCUUCCUUUUUGGUGGGUGUGGAUGAGUGGCGAACGGGAGAGUAACACGUGAGUAACCUGCCCCCUUCUUCUGGAUAACCGCAUGAAAGUGUGGCUAAUACGGGAUAUUCUGGGUCUGUCGCAUGAUGGGUCUGGGAAAGAUAUUGUUUCGGUGGGGGAUGGGCUCGCGGCCUAUCAGCUUGUUGGUGGGGUGAUGGCCUACCAAGGCGGUGACGGGUAGCCGGCCUGAGAGGGUGGACGGUCACACUGGGACUGAGACACGGCCCAGACUCCUACGGGAGGCAGCAGUGGGGAAUAUUGCACAAUGGGCGCAAGCCUGAUGCAGCGACGCCGCGUGAGGGAUGGAGGCCUUCGGGUUGUGAACCUCUUUCGCCAGUGAAGCAGGCCUGCCUCGUUUGUGGGUGGGUUGACGGUAGCUGGAUAAGAAGCGCCGGCUAACUACGUG
Molecule: ribosomal RNA, 494 nt
Filed under: uncultured bacterium
Lineage: Bacteria
Description: partial 16S ribosomal RNA
Rfam family: Bacterial small subunit ribosomal RNA
Source: RNAcentral